UGGCUCAGUGGUAGAGUGUUUGCCUUGCAUGCAUGAGGCCCUGGGUUCAAUUCCUAG
Molecule: transfer RNA, 57 nt
Filed under: Dipodomys ordii (Ord's kangaroo rat)
Lineage: Eukaryota; Metazoa; Chordata; Mammalia; Rodentia; Heteromyidae
Rfam family: tRNA
About the family: Transfer RNA (tRNA) molecules are approximately 80 nucleotides in length.
Source: Rfam by way of RNAcentral